AGGGUGCAGGGCGGAUGCCUUGGCACUAGGAGCCGAUGAAGGACGUGAUAAGCUGCGAUAAGCUUCGGGGAGUUGCACGUAAACUUUGAUCCGAAGAUUUCCGAAUGAGGAAACUCACUUAGAGUAAUGUCUAAGUAUCAUUAAGUGAAUACAUAGCUUAAUGAGGGGAACUCAGGGAACUGAAACAUCUAAGUACCUGAAGGAAGAGAAAGAAAUUCGAUUCCGUAAGUAGCGGCGAGCGAACGCGGAUUAGCCCAAACCAAUAAAGUUUUCUUUAUUGGGGUUGCGGACAUAUCAUAACGAAGAGGUAUCGUAAUUGAAGAGGUUUGGAAAGACCCACCACAGAAGGUAAUAGUCCUGUAUGUUAAACGAGAAGACUUCAGAUAUGAUCCAGAGUACCACGGGACACGUGAAACCCUGUGGGAAGCAGGAGGGACCACCCUCCAAGGCUAAAUACUACCUAGUGACCGAUAGCGUAUAGUACCGUGAGGGAAAGGUGAAAAGAACCCCGGGAGGGGAGUGAAAUAGAACCUGAAACCCUGCACUUACAAGCUGUGGAAGCACAUUUCUUGUGUGACCGCGUACUUUUUGUAGAACGGGCCAACGAGUUACGUUAAGUAGCAAGGUUAAGCACUUAAGGUGUGGAGCCGUAGCGAAAGCGAGUUUUAACUGAGCGUUCAGUUACUUGACGUAGACCCGAAACCGGGCGACCUACCCAUGAGCAGGAUGAAGCGAAAGUAAAAUUUCGUGGAGGUCCGAACCCACGAGCGUUGAAAAGCUCGGGGAUGACUUGUGGGUAGCGGUGAAAUUCCAAUCGAGCCCGGAGAUAGCUGGUUCUCCCCGAAAUAGCUUUAGGGCUAGCCUCAAGGUGAGAGAUACGGAGGUAGAGCACUGAAUGUCCUAGGGGGUAUUGCACCUACCGAAGACUAUCAAACUCCGAAUGCCGUCAUCUUAUACUUGGGAGUCAGACUGUGGGUGAUAAGAUUCAUAGUCGAAAGGGCAACAGCCCAGAUCGUCAGCUAAGGUCCCUAAAUGUAAGUUAAGUGGUAAAGGAUGUGGGAUUGCACAGACAACCAGGAUGUUGGCUUAGAAGCAGCCACUCAUUCAAAGAGUGCGUAAUAGCUCACUGGUCGAGUGAUCCUGCGCCGAAGAUUUCCGGGGCUAAAACUUACUACCGAAGCUACGGCAUCAGUAAUGAUGGGUAGGGGAGCUUCCCAUACGGGUUGAAGCAUGACCGUAAGGACAUGUGGACAGUAUGGGAGUGAGAAUGUUGGCAUGAGUAGCGAGAUGUGGGUGAGAAUCCCACAGGCCGUAAACCCAAGGUUUCCAGGGGAAGGUUCGUCCGCCCUGGGUUAGUCGGGACCUAAGCUGAGGCCGAAAGGCGUAGGUGAUGGACAACAGGUUGAUAUUCCUGUACUACCGAUAACCGUUUGAGAGAAGGGAUGACACAGUAGGAUAAGCUAAGCACACUGUUGGUUAUGUGUGCCCAAGCAUUGAGGCAGUCAAAGCAGGCAAAUCCGCUUUGAUAAUGCUGGGAUGUGAUGGGGAGCGAAAUUUAGUAGCGAAGUAGCUGAUUUCACACUGUCAAGAAAAGUCUCUAUCGAGGUUAAAGGUACCCGUACCGCAAACCGACACAGGUGGGUGAGGAGAGUAUCCUAAGGCCAGCGAGAGAACUGUUGUUAAGGAACUCGGCAAAAUGACCCCGUAACUUAGGGAUAAGGGGUGCCACCAUCCGGUGGCCGCAGAGAAUAGGCCCAAGCGACUGUUUACCAAAAACAUAGGUUUCUGCUAAGUCGCAAGACGAUGUAUAGGAGCUGACGCCUGCCCGGUGCUGGAAGGUUAAGGGGAUCUGUUAGAGCAAUCGAAGCAGUGAACUUAAGCCCCAGUAAACGGCGGCCGUAACUAUAACGGUCCUAAGGUAGCGAAAUUCCUUGUCGGGUAAGUUCCGACCCGCACGAAAGGCGUAAUGAUUUGGGCACUGUCUCAACAACAGACUCGGUGAAAUUGUAAUUCCGGUGAAGAUGCCGGAUACCUGCGACAGGACGGAAAGACCCCAUGGAGCUUUACUGUAGCUUGACAUUGGGUCUUGGUACUACAUGUACAGGAUAGGUGGGAGGCUUUGAAACCAGGACGCCAGUUUUGGCGGAGCCAUCCUUGGGAUACCACCCUUGUAGUACUGGGACUCUAACCAUAGGCCAUGAAUCUGGUCUUGGGACACUGUCAGGUGGGCAGUUUGACUGGGGCGGUCGCCUCCCAAAAGGUAACGGAGGCGCUCAAAGGUUCUCUCAGUACGGUCGGAAAUCGUACGUAGAGUGUAAAGGCAAAAGAGAGCUUGAUUGCAAGACAUACAGGUCGAGCAAGGAUGAAAAUCGGACUUAGUGAUCCGGUGGUUCUGCGUGGAAGGGCCAUCGCUCAACGGAUAAAAGCUACCCUGGGGAUAACAGGCUUAUC
RNAcentral lists this ribosomal RNA (2451 nucleotides) under human gut metagenome. RNAcentral describes it as "bacterial LSU rRNA". It matches the Rfam family "Bacterial large subunit ribosomal RNA", at positions 14 to 2487 of the family's 2925-position model. The record is from RNAcentral.